This is a non-coding RNA of Rhizobium sp. Root483D2, 67 nucleotides long. Lineage: Bacteria; Pseudomonadati; Pseudomonadota; Alphaproteobacteria; Hyphomicrobiales; Rhizobiaceae. The record is from Rfam.
AGUCAAGUGUUUUGGCGCCGUUUUGGCGAGCGAAUUUCUUUUGCCUUCUGAAAGGUGAGAGAGAAUG